AUGUUGGGUUGGUAAUGGGUGUGAAAGGUUGGGUUGGGUUGGGUUGGUGGAACUGGAAUAGAGAGAAAUUAUUAUUUUAUUAAAGGUUGGGCUGAGAAGGGUUGUGAAUAAGGGUAGUCUAAGUAUUUAUAAUAAAACAUUAACAUGUUUCUUUAUAAUUGAAAUGAUUUAUCUAUUAGCCUACAAGAAAUAACAAAAUUUAAUAUAAAAAUUAAAUGAUCUUCAAAGUAUUAUAAAAGAAAAUGUCUUAAUAAAAUCUUUGGAGAAACAUAAAAAUAGAUUAGAAGGUUAGGUUUAUGUGAACAAUAUUAAUUAAAAAGGUUAAAUAUAAUAACUUAAAUGUAAAAAUCUAAGAAAGGUUCUUAAAUUUUGGAUUAUACUUUUAAUUUUUGAAUCUUACGUAAUUUUGUUCCAAAACCGAACCGAACUGUGCACACCCCUAGCGUGCACCUUCACCUUGGCGUGCCUCUCACUGUUAUCCAAAGAAUAAACUUGGGUUAGUCAUAGCAGUCUUUAGUCUUCAAUUAGCUUUAGCAACAGUUUGAUAUUUUAGUAAUCGUCAGUGCACUUGUACGCAUAUUUUAUAUCAUUCUUCUACUUUUAUACUUUUUUGAAAGAGUAAAGUGCAAUUUGCCACCCUGUGGUUUGGUCCAGAUUGCCAGAUAACACCCUAUCUUCCACUUUUUGCCAUCUGAAACCAUGGGGUGGGAUUAAACUGCAAUUUGCCACCAUGUGGCUUGGUCUAGAUUGCCAGAUGACACCCUAUCUUCCACUUUUUGCCAUCUGAAACCCUGGGGUGGGUAUUUCAUCACACCCUGCCCCAGGACGUUAGUCAACAGUUAUGUUACCGUUAGAUUUAGGGGUAUAUUGGUCUUUUUACCCUCGAAGCUUCCUAACCACACCUUAGCUACUCCCUUAUCUUUACUUCAUCACGCCCUGACACCCCAUUCUUUACCAAACACUUUCCAUCUUCUUCUUCCACCGGCGAACCACCAAUCCACCGGCAAACGACAAGCCUCUGGCCACCGAUUCAGUCCAAAGACAUCGCGACAUGGAAUUUAUGGUUGAGGUGCAAAACGAUUCAGUCCAUGGUACGUAUGUGAAGUACAUUUCACUUGAAUCUGGUUUGAUUUCAGUCCACUGUACAUUUUAAGAUUACCCUCGUUUGAUUCAAAAUUAGGAUCGAUAAUGUGGUGGUUUGUGAUGAUUUGAUUGUAGCUGGAGUAAUGGUCACGAGACCCAGAACCAUUGUGGGGUGGUUCUGGUCAGGGUGGUGUUGCGCUGCUUGAACAACAUAUCGUUCAACUUUGGAGUGGUGUUCCCUGCAUCACCCCAACAAUCACGUCCACCGUCCCCAUGACCACAGAAUGCCAUGAUCCCAGUCUGGUCCGACAUCACCGUCACCAGAACAGAGCAUCACCCACCUUCACCCUCCGUCUCCAUCACCACAGAAUGCCAUGAUCCCAGUCUCUGGUCCGACAUCCCCACCACCAUCACCAUCACCAGAACAGAGCAUCGGCCACCUUCACCAAGACUAGUGUAAUACUAGUCUUGGUUAGUUUGAUUAAGGUUCCUAUUAUUAGGUUAUGUGUAAUUAUAAUUUGGAUAUGUAUAAUUAUGCUUUGGAUAUGUUUAUUUGCUUAGGUCGAUAUUUUGCUAUGUAUAAUUAUGCUUAGGAUAUGUUUAAUUAUGCUUUGGAUGUGUUUAAAUAUUAAUCUAUGAUUAUGUACUGCUUUGAUGUUCACAGUUGGAUAUCUAUACUUAUGCAUUGCUUUGAGGAUCAUUAAACUGAAUUUGAUGUCACAGUUGGAUAUCUAUGAUGAUGAUGAUGAUCAUGUACAUAAUUUUUCUGAUUAUGAUGAUAGGGUUUAGGGUUUAUUUAUUUUAAUAUAUACAGUUAGUUUUUAUGGUUAAAUAUGACCAAAUGGACCCCACAUAGGGGUACUUUAGUCAUUUUACCUUAAAUAUUAAAAUAAAUAAUCAUCUCCAACACCCACCUGCCACCACACCCCACCUACAACCACCAACACCACCAUCCACCUGCCACCCUGAUCUGACCUAAACAACCUCCUCCCUGACCUUAAACCCUAGCCCCAAAAACCCUAGUAGUCCUCCUCAUCUCCACCGACGGCACCACCACCACCUCUGCCGCCACGACAACCGGAGAAUGUCACCGUCGCCUCUCCCUCUUCACCUAUCCAACAAAAUCUCAACGAAACCCUAGAAAAAGAAACCCUAAUUUCUGAUUUUCCCCAAAUUGGAUCUCAUGAUUACACCUCUCUGCUCACCGAUCAAGUCGAACCCCACGAGUAAAAACGACAACCCUUGAAACAACAAGAAGUAGAAAUGGAUACCUUGAGCCGAUAAAAGACUUCUCGUAGAAGCAGUUAGUAACAAAAACGCCAUCAUCAACUCCUUUGUAUAGAUCCUAUUAUGCUUCUUCUUUUUCUCCUUUUCUUUCAACUCGGCUUCGAGUUUCUCGAGAUCGGGUUCCGACCCGGCCUGUUGGAUCUCUUUCGACUCGACUAACGAAACAAGAUCACCUUCGGAGGACCUUCCGGAUUUCUUGGUGACAACCCACUCGUACGCGCUGCCUAGCUGGAACAGGUUCGAUAUCAUGGCGUUGAAUUUGGUUACCGACAUUGUGUUUUCGAAGAGGAGAUAGGGGACUAGAAACGGGAAUGCUUUUGGGGACGGAAGGAUGCUGAGAAUCGACAUGGUGGCGGGGACGUAACAGACGAGGCGGUGAGGCGAGGCGGUGAGGCUUAAGCCUCACUAGACCUUGUGAAAAUUGAAAAAUUUUAGGUGAGAGUUCAUCAUCUAGGAGGAAAAGGAAAAGAGUUAUUAAUUUGGUUGAUGAAGAUGAC
This is a long non-coding RNA of Helianthus annuus (common sunflower), 2867 nucleotides long. RefSeq lists it as uncharacterized. The record is from RefSeq and is a predicted model, not a curated record. NCBI's taxonomy places the organism in Eukaryota, Viridiplantae, Streptophyta, Magnoliopsida, Asterales, Asteraceae. The transcript has 2 exons.